This 406-nucleotide ribosomal RNA is filed under the name uncultured bacterium. RNAcentral describes it as "partial 16S ribosomal RNA". It matches the Rfam family "Bacterial small subunit ribosomal RNA", at positions 30 to 526 of the family's 1533-position model. The record is from RNAcentral.
AUUGAACGCUGGCGGCAGGCCUAACACAUGCAAGUCGAACGAGUAGCGGACGGGCGAAUAAUGUCUGAAAAACUGCCCGACGGGGCGGGAUAACUACUGUAAACGGUGGCUAAUACUGCUUACCAUCGGUUGUGGCGAGGUGGGAUUAGCUAGUUGGUGUGGUAACGGCUCACCUAGGCGAAGAUCCCUAGCUGGUCUGAGAGGAUGACCAGCCACAUGGGAACGGAGACACGGCCCAGACUCCUACGGGAGGCAGCAGUGGGGAAUAUUGCACAAUGGGCGCAAGCCUGAUGCAGCCAUGCCGCGUGGAUGAAGAAGGCCUUCGGGUUGUAAAGUUCUUUCGGCGGGGAGGCGUUACCCACAGAAGAAGCACCGGCUAACUCCGUGCCAGCAGCCGCGGUAAUUC